RNAcentral lists this ribosomal RNA (771 nucleotides) under uncultured Neocallimastigales. RNAcentral's name for it is "partial large subunit ribosomal RNA". It matches the Rfam family "Eukaryotic large subunit ribosomal RNA", at positions 18 to 644 of the family's 3401-position model. Lineage: Eukaryota; Fungi; Neocallimastigomycota; Neocallimastigomycetes; Neocallimastigales. The record is from RNAcentral.
UCAGACGAUGCGUCAUGCAUAUCAAUAAGCGGAGGAAAAGAAACUAACAAGGAUUCCCUCAGUAACGGCGAGUGAAGCGGGAAGAGCUCAAAUUUGAAAUCUUGAAAGGUCACCUUUCACGAAUUGUAGUUUAAAGAAGUGUUUUCUGUUACGAUCGUAAUAUAAGUUCUUUGGAAUAGGACAUCACAGAGGGUGAGAAUCCCGUCUAUGAUUGCGAUUUGUAGCUUUGUGAUACACUUUCAAAGAGUCGGGUUGUUUGGGAAUGCAGCCCAAAACGGGAGGUAAAUUUCUUCUAAGGCUAAAUAUUGGCGAGAGACCGAUAGCGAACAAGUACCGUGAGGGAAAGAUGAAAAGAACUUUGAAAAGAGAGUUAAACAGUACGUGAAAUUGUCAAGAGGGAAGCGUUUGACACCAGUGUUGUUUUCUGAAAAUCAACCUCUGUUAGCUUUAUGCAUGUUUGUUUAGACCUAAUCAGCUAUCUUGCAUGUUCUAUUGUUUGCAGUGGUGCACUUUUCAGUUUACAGGUCAACAUCAGUUUUUUUUACCGUAAAAAAGUUAAAGAAAGGUAGCUCAUGGCUCCGGUCGUGAGUGUUAUAGUCUUUUUCCUAUGCGGUAGGAGAGACUGAGGUCUGCAGUGUAGGCUAUUUGGCUAGAUACUCAGGUGCUAUGUGAUACCAUUUCAUAAACAACUUGUUGAUUAUGUUUUGUCUAUUGCAUACUCGCUUGUACUAUCAUACCUACGCUUAGGAUGUUGACUGAUAUGUAGUCGUA